This 468-nucleotide ribosomal RNA is filed under the name uncultured bacterium. Its description in RNAcentral is "partial 16S ribosomal RNA". It matches the Rfam family "Bacterial small subunit ribosomal RNA", at positions 28 to 507 of the family's 1533-position model. The record is from RNAcentral.
GACGAACGCUGGCGGCGUGCUUAACACAUGCAAGUCGAACGGAAAGGCCCUGCUUUUGUGGGGUGCUCGAGUGGCGAACGGGUGAGUAACACGUGAGUAACCUGCCCUUGACUUUGGGAUAACUUCAGGAAACUGGGGCUAAUACCGGAUAGGAGCUCCUGCUGCAUGGUGGGGGUUGGAAAGUUUCGGCGGUUGGGGCUGGACUCGCGGCUUAUGAGCUUGUUGGUGGGGUAGUGGCUUACCAAGGCUUCGACGGGUAGCCGGCCUGAGAGGGUGAGCGGCCACAUUGGGACUGAGAUAGGGGCCAGAAUCCUACGGGAGGCAACAGUGGGGAAUAGUGCACAGUGGGGGGGAGGCUGGUGCGACGGCGCCGCGUGCGGGAUGACGGCCUUCGGGUUGUGAACCGCUUUCGCCUGUGACGUAGCGUGAGUGACGGUAAUGGGUAAAGAAGCACCGGCUAACUACGUG